AGUGAACGCUGGCGGUAGGCCUAACACAUGCAAGUCGAACGGCAGCACAGUAAGAGCUUGCUCUUACGGGUGGCGAGUGGCGGACGGGUGAGGAAUACAUCGGAAUCUACUUUUUCGUGGGGGGUAACGUAGGGAAACUUACGCUAAUACCGCAUACGACCUACGGGUGAAAGCAGGGGAUCUUCGGACCUUGCGCGAUUGAAUGAGCCGAUGUCGGAUUAGCUAGUUGGCGGGGUAAAGGCCCACCAAGGCGACGAUCCGUAGCUGGUCUGAGAGGAUGAUCAGCCACACUGGAACUGAGACACGGUCCAGACUCCCACGGGAGGCAGCAGUGGGGAAUAUUGGACAAUGGGCGCAAGCCUGAUCCAGCCAUACCGCGUGGGUGAAGAAGGCCUUCGGGUUGUAAAGCCCUUUUGUUGGGAAAGAAAAGCAGCAGGUUAAUACCCCGCUGUUCUGACGGUACCCAAAGAAUAAGCACCGGCUAACUUCGUG
Molecule: ribosomal RNA, 492 nt
Filed under: uncultured bacterium
Lineage: Bacteria
Description: partial 16S ribosomal RNA
Rfam family: Bacterial small subunit ribosomal RNA
Source: RNAcentral